CUUUCUUAAUAAUGGCACAUAGAAAUUGUUUAAGCAGGAAUAAUUCUCAAGAUUAUUUUAUGUGUUUCCUUUUUUCUUUUUAAGGUAUGUAUUGGAUGGAGGAGCAUUAUGUAUUGAACCUCUCACGAAACAGCGCCUACUUUCAAGAAUGAAAAAGGUAUCCCAGCACUUUGGGAGGCCCAGGCCGACGGAUCACAAGGGCUGAAGCAGUGCCUACUCGAUAGAAUCAGUCAUCAUGCACAUAAAUGCCAAAUGAGUCAAAGGCAAAGCCAACGUGCAGUUUGGAGCAAAGAAGGUACUUUUAUUAAGAAUUUGAUAUAAACCCUAAGAUGAAUUUUAUAUUACUUUGUGAACCUUCUUCCUAUCUUAAUUAUUUUUUAUUCAUUUCAUUUUCAUUCAGUUUGUUUUCUGUUACAAAGAUGACCUAUAGAAAAUAUAGA
This is a long non-coding RNA of Piliocolobus tephrosceles (Ugandan red Colobus), 440 nucleotides long. RefSeq lists it as uncharacterized. The transcript has 3 exons. The record is from RefSeq and is a predicted model, not a curated record. NCBI's taxonomy places the organism in Eukaryota, Metazoa, Chordata, Mammalia, Primates, Cercopithecidae.